RNAcentral lists this long non-coding RNA (540 nucleotides) under Gallus gallus (chicken). The record is from RNAcentral. Lineage: Eukaryota; Metazoa; Chordata; Aves; Galliformes; Phasianidae.
CUGACACCAAUUCCUAACAAGGAAAAUUUGGGCUGAACAUACUGAGGGAUGAUAUCAAGUGGACAAUCAGAAACAUCAAUUAAUGCAAAGCCUCAUUUAAUGCAACGGUAUUAUUACCUACAGGACUUGUUAUUCCUGAUUGUUUUAUGAUGUUACUGUUGUACACUGCGUGUGCCUGAUUCUGCUACAUGGGAUUUGAGAUGCAGAAAGAUUCUUCCACCCUCCAUUAUUCUCUCUCAGCAGUGGGAGUGAUCAUUAACACUGGACAAAGAAACUAGAAAAUCCCAUCCAUGCUGGUGAGAGCAUUCUCUGUUCACACUGAAAAGCAUCAGGGAUACGCCUUCGGAGGACACGUGCAUAGGACCAAACAACAACCACACAGGAGAAGAAAAGCAGUCUUUGCCUUGGGAAUACAGCACUGAAAGCUGCCACAUGGCAAGUUGGCCAUGAAGAAAUCAAGACAGAUUAAUGGUGAAAAUGAAAGGAAGCAAUCUAAUCUCAUUAACAAGAAAGUGGAUGGAUCAUGCUGCUCAACAAGCC